Molecule: non-coding RNA, 785 nt
Filed under: Gabala argentata
Lineage: Eukaryota; Metazoa; Arthropoda; Insecta; Lepidoptera; Nolidae
Source: RNAcentral
AAAAAAAAAUAAUUUAUUAUAGUUAAAAAAAUUUAUUUAUAAUUUAUUUUACAUAUAAAUUUUUGUAAAUAAAAUAAUUUAUUUUAAAAAUAAUUUAUUUUAUUUGUAGUAAUUAAUAUUAAACAAUUUAAGAAAUUAUGAUUUAGUAAUAUUAAAAUUAAAAACAAAUUUUGUGCCAGCAGUUGCGGUUAUACAAAAUUUAAAUUAAAUUUUAUUAGUUAUUAAUAAAUAAAAUAAUUUAAUAAAUAAAAAAUUAAAUUAUUAGGUGAAAUUUUAAUUUAAUAAAAAUUUAUUUAAUAAUUAUUAUUUAAUAAAUUUUAUAAAGAAACUAGGAUUAGAUACCCUACUAUUGAAAUUUUAAAUUAAAAAUACUAAAAUAGUAAAUAAUUAUUUAUUGAAAUUUAAAUAAUUUGGCGGUAUUUUAGUUCAUUUAGAGGAAUCUGUUUAAUAAUUGAUAAUCCACGAUUAAAUUUACUUAAUUUAAAUUUUGUAUAUCGUUGUUAAAAAAAUAUUUUUUAGUAAUUUAAUAAUAUUUAAAAAUUUAAAAAUAAAAUUAAAUCAGAUCAAGAUGCAGAUUAUAAUUAAGAAUAUAAUGGAUUACAAUAAAUUUAUUUAAAUGAAUAUUAAUUUGUAAAAAUUAAUUGAAAGUGGAUUUAAAUGUAAUUUUAUUUAAUAUAAUAAAAUGAUUAUAAAUUAAAAUAUGUACAUAUUGCCCGUCGCUUUCAUAUAAAAAGUUGAAAUAAGUCGUAACAAAGUAGAGGUACUGGAAAGUGUUUCUAGAAAGA